AGCAGCCGCGGUAAUUCCAGCUCCAAUAGCGUAUAUUAAAGUUGUUGCAGUUAAAAAGCUCGUAGUUGAAUUUCGGGAUUAGUACGCUGGUCAUGCCUUUGGUAUGUACUGGUGUUACUGGUUUCUACCUUCUGAAGAACCGUUAUGUCAUUUAUUUGGUGUGGCGGGAAAUCAGGACUGUUACUUUGAAAAAAUUAGAGUGUUUAAAGCAGGCUCGCGCUUGAAUACAUUAGCAUGGAAUAAUGAAAUAGGACGUUUGACCCUAUUUUGUUGGUUUCUAGGAUCGACGUAAUGAUUAAUAGGGAUAGUUGGGGGCAUUAGUAUUCAAUUGUCAGAGGUGAAAUUCUUGGAUUUAUUGAAGACUAACUACUGCGAAAGCAUUUGCCAAGGAUGUUUUCAUUAAUCAAGAACGAAAGUUAGGGGAUCGAAGACGAUCAGAUACCGUCGUAGUCUUAACCAUAAACUAUGCCGACUAGGGAUCGGAUGAUGUUAUUUUAAUGACUCAUUCGGCGCCUUACGG
Molecule: ribosomal RNA, 520 nt
Filed under: uncultured Glomeromycotina
Lineage: Eukaryota; Fungi; Glomeromycota
Description: SSU rRNA
Rfam family: Eukaryotic small subunit ribosomal RNA
Source: RNAcentral